RNA transcript from Cebus imitator (Panamanian white-faced capuchin), 2812 nucleotides. It is a transcript of the gene named palmitoyltransferase ZDHHC7-like, with no coding region annotated. NCBI's taxonomy places the organism in Eukaryota, Metazoa, Chordata, Mammalia, Primates, Cebidae. The transcript has 3 exons. The record is from RefSeq and is a predicted model, not a curated record.
AUGAUGAAUCCCUGCCUUGACCACUGCAAGUCACCGCCACAGACCAGGAGGAGCUGGUGCAUCAGGAAAAUCACGCAGCCAUCAGGACACAGGCUCUGGGACGUCGAGCAUCAUUCUCUCCUGGCUGAAAAUGACAACUAUGACUCUUCAUCGUCCUCCUUCUCUGAGGCUGGUGUGGCUGACAGGGUCUGGUUCAUUCUUGACGGCUGCAGCAUGAUCUGUGCCGUCAUGACAUGGCUUCUGGUCACCUAUGCAGACUUCAUGGUGACUUUUUUCAUGCCUUCCAAAGAUUUCUGGUACUCUGUGGUCAAUGGGGUCAUAUUUAACUGCUUGGCUAUGCUCGCCCUGUUGUCCCACCUGAGAACCAUGCUCACUGAUCCCUGGGAAGUACUCAAAGGAAACGCUUCAAAAGAAUACAUGGAGAGCCUGCAGCUGAAGCCCAGGAGGUGAUUUACAAGUGCCCCAAGUGCUGCUAUAUUAAACCAGAGUAUACUGGUCUAAUACCACCACUGCAGUAUUUGCAAAAGAUGUAUUCAGAAAAUGGAUUAUCACUGCCCGUGGGAGAACAACUGUGUAGGAAAAAAGAAUCAAAGGUUUUUUUGUGCUCUUCACUGUGUAUAUAGCUCUGUCUUCAGUCAAUGCUCUGAUCCUCUGUGGAUUGCAGUUUAUCUCCUGUGUCCAAGGCAGUGGACUAAAUGCAGUGAGUUUUUACCUCCAAUGACUGUAAUUCUGUUGAUCUUCCUGUGCCUUAAAAGUCUUCUGUUUUUCACUUUCACUGCAGUUAUGUUUGGCACCCACAUCCACUCUAUAAGCAACGAUGAGACGGAAAUUGAGCGAUUGAAAAGUGAGAAGCCCACAUGGGAGUGGAGGCUGCGAUGGGAAGGGAUGAAGUCUGUGCUUGGGGGAUCCCCCCUCACUCCUCUGGAUGAAUACCUUUGUCAGCUUCCACUUUAGGUGACUGCCCACGAGACCCAGAAAAGGUGGCCCAGAGUUCUCAGUGUGAGGCCUGGCUUGUCCGGCUGGAACUUGCUCACAGACUUCUACUCAUUUAUUUGGGGUCUGAAGGGGAUCAACAGCUCAUCUGUGACCAACAGGGCAACCGGAACCUAUACAAACCAACUACUUGCAGCAAGCAGAGUUUUAUAUAUUUCUAGUCACAGAUGGCAGAUUCUCCACACUGGAAGAGGUGCUCAGUCCCCACCUACAACAACGACGGAAAGGUGUGUGGCCAUGCAAAGAAGUCAAAUGUCAUGGCCUUCCUGCGGAGUUAGGAUUUUUGUUAAGAAUACUUCACGUUUUCUAAGUUGUCUGGGUUAUUACAUGGGUUGUUCAAAUCCUGUGUACUGAGCUGCUGUUUCCAAUCAUGAAGGAAAACAGUCAAUCCAGUGAACAGGGAUUCUCCGAGCAGUCAUUUCAGGGGGCUGCUGCUGACCCCCCACUCAGCAGUGCACUCUCCGGACCACAGCAGGGCAUUUACAUAGUAAGACGUUUUGGUGUCUGUUAGCUCUGAUGCUUUGCACUGAAGUCGCAAAAGAUCUGUGCACUGAACAGUGAAGGUGACUUCUGGCACACUCCCCACUGCCCUGGAAGAGACACCCUUUGACCCUCUCAGCAAUUCUCUGUGUGCACGUGUCUGUGCAUGUGUAUGCAUGUGUGUCUCAAAACUGCCAGUGUUGUUUAGGUAGUGUAACAUUUCCCAGCUGUGUACAGAAAACAAGCUAUCUUUUAGAAACUGAUGUUUCAGGGAAGAGGGGAGAGAGGCCGCGGGGUCCUCCCCGUGGUUACUAUGAAUGUAUUGCUAUCUUAGGACAUCUCGAUCCAAAGAACAGUCGUUCCUGUGCAGUCCUUCGUUACCCUCCUGCUUUAAUUUCUUAAAGAAAUCUUGAGUGCUUGAGGGCCUUGGAACUGAUUUUUUGUUGUUGUUGUUCCAGCCAAAUUAGCAGUGUCUAAAUAGCACCUGGGGAAGGGUAGAGCCUCAGUGACCUGAUCCAUUGGGCAGCUCGAUGCUGUUGGUGUAUGGGGCAGGAGAGGCAUCCCAAUUGGAGAGGCAGGGCCCAGCCCUUGGGCACCUCUGGGAAGGUGAGGGGAUUGUGAGGCAGCCAGCCCCUGGCAAGGGCAACUGUGUCACCAGCAGGCAGCGCUCAGGCUGGUAAUGGUCAGGAUGGCGUCCUCUUGUUGGACAUUUUUGUUAGCUUUUAUGUUUUCUUCUCUACCCACGGCACAGGUGAUAAAAUAGGAUCCUUGGUGUGCAGCUUAAACUUAUGCCAGAAAGCCAACAGCUCGCCUCCAUGGGGACUUGCCUUAACCUUGCCUGAUUUGUACAUUUUUUGCUGGAUGCAUCAAGAAGCAAUCUGUGACAAAGUCCGAGGAUCUUCCUUUAAGCAUGCCCUCCAUGCUAAGAGAAGUUGGCAUCUCCCUCCUGGGAACUGUUUUGCCUUUCUGCUCAUCUGCGAACUGUGUUUUGUUUUUAAUUACUCUGUACCCCAUCUGAAUCAGGGCUUCUACUGCUGCUGAUGCAAAGCCACAAAGGGACCUAUCUGAGCCACCGUCCUAGCCAAGAGCAAACCUGCAGGGGAUUUGGAAGUGGAUUCAGUCACCGCGGAAGCCUGUGCGCCAUUAGGGGAAGAAGUGCGUCACAGCCAGAGGGACAAAGCAUAGAUUGUGCGUGAUCCUGGAGAUGCGAGUUGCCAGAGACUGUUUUGCGUAUUCAUUUGCACAUGGUUGUCUGGGUUGGACAUGUGUAUGGGCUUCAGUGUGAGGCUUUCAAUAUGUAUAUACUGUUAUAAAUAAAAAAAUUAUCCAAGUGGCUGAA